Molecule: ribosomal RNA, 478 nt
Filed under: uncultured bacterium
Lineage: Bacteria
Description: partial 16S ribosomal RNA
Rfam family: Bacterial small subunit ribosomal RNA
Source: RNAcentral
GAUGAACGCUGGCGGCGUGCUUAACACAUGCAAGUCGAACGGGAAACCUUUUAUUGAAGCUUCGGCAGAUUUAGCUGGUUUCUAGUGGCGGACGGGUGAGUAACGCGUGGGUAACCUGCCUUAUACAGGGGGAUAACAGUCAGAAAUGGCUGCUAAUACCGCAUAAGCGCACAGAGCUGCAUGGCUCAGUGUGAAAAACUCCGGUGGUAUAAGAUGGACCCGCGUUGGAUUAGCUGGUUGGUGGGGUAACGGCCCACCAAGGCGACGAUCCAUAACCGGCCUGAGAGGGUGAACGGCCACAUUGGGACUGAGACACGGCCCAGACUCCUACGGGAGGCAGCAGUGGGGAAUAUUGCACAAUGGGGGAAACCCUGAUGCAGCGACGCCGCGUGAAGGAAGAAGUAUCUCGGUAUGUAAACUUCUAUCAGCAGGGAAGAUAAUGACGGUACCUGACUAAGAAGCCCCGGCUAACUACGUG